UACCACCGGUGUUCGGGUGUCGAGAGAGAGAGAGGAGUCUGGCGGGGAGGACAAAAAGGGGUGGCGGCUGCGCUCCAGGGCGUGAGAAGGGUGAGAAGAGUUGGGGAGGAGGAGUUUAGCCAGCGGCUUCACGGGCUCCUAGGCGAGCUCGAGCCGUACCAGCGACCCGCGCCCUGCUUCCGGCUGCGCUUCCGCGCCCUGAGCAGAGGUGGUCUAGCCGCCGGCACCGACAGUACGCAGCGUUGGAGGCGGGGACCAAGGAAGGAGAGAUAUAGCGAGCAGCCGCCGAGGGUGGUGGGACACACACGCUGACGCGACGCGGGACGUUACGGGUCCGUGCUGUCGUCAUGGGGCCACAGACCAGGGGACGUUCACGUUCGGCCGCGGCCAUCUGCUAGAUAAGGGGAGAAGCCGAAAGUAUAUACGAAUAAAGACUAAACUCCGAAUCUGCUUUACCUAUAAUUUCUGGUAGAUUCUCACUCCCUUAAACAAGGUAGGAUUUAAAAACCCUGACCUUAUUUGUGUUUCUACCCUUACCCUCCGUAUGGACGGACGGUAUAUGUAGUUGGACUUCGAAAGUUCGCAACAUGUCUUGUUCAUUAACUGUCCAAAUGAAGUACUAUCAGAACCUAAACCAAACCGGUUUUACUAGUCCGUCCACGCAACGGACUCCUCAAGCAGCCACGGCUACAGCAGUCAACACCUUCCGCCGCUACCGAUUGUCACCGACCCGCCGCUUCCAGGUUGUCACCGAACCGCCGCGGCUGCAGACUGACAUCACACGCAGACUUGCCGCUGUAGCUUCUUUCAGACUUACCGCUGCAGCUUCUUUCUGUAGCUCUAAUUGACCCUACCUUGACCGGUGUAUAACGCGUGUUCUCCUAUCAGACGUGAACGCAACCGCUCUUCGAGCAGCUGCGCCCGCAGCAGACGACGCGUGCCGCCGCUACCGCGUCCUGUCCCGCCCGACGACGCUGCAUGCAGGCCCCACCCGUUUCCGUCCAUCUAGUUCGGCUAAGGGUCUUCAAAUCGGUAAACAACACUCCGUCCGCACAAUUAAGGGCAAUUAACACCGAUUAAAAGACAUCAACUAACCGAGCAUACACAUAUAUACAAAAACUGCGCUUACGUUACCCACCUGCACAAAAAAAAAAACGCCCCCUCCACCUUGACUAGCUACCGUCUCAAAGCAGGCGAUGAUAUUUAACGAUUUGCGUGUAUCCACUCCCGACUGAAAAUACACCUGCCAAUCUACGGACUAGAACCCCACCAUUAAACAAAACAAACGGGACACAUGUAAAUAGACCCUUCUUAUACAAACGAACAAAUUAUCAUCAUCUCUUCAUCUCUAUCUGACGACUACUACAUCGAAAGAUUAAGAAAAAAAAUUGUGUCGAAAGAUUGUAAAACAAACAAAAAAACGCCUAUAAUACUGUAAAAGAAACUCGACGUAAAGAAAGCCCUCUGAAUACAUAAUACAUCCACAACUAAUACGAGACCGUGAAUGCCCUAAGCUAGAAUGGUGUGUUUUUUCACAACAUUUUACAAAGAUAUCUAGGACCUAAAGGACAUCGUUUCAUCUGGAGUACAUAUUCUAAAUAAUAGGUUACUUUGUUUUAGUACACGAGUACCCUUUAGAACAGACAUCUCAUGAUAACAAACCGUAAGGAGG
Molecule: ribosomal RNA, 1672 nt
Filed under: Triticum aestivum (bread wheat)
Lineage: Eukaryota; Viridiplantae; Streptophyta; Magnoliopsida; Poales; Poaceae
Description: partial small subunit ribosomal RNA
Source: RNAcentral